This 299-nucleotide signal recognition particle RNA is filed under the name Saimiri boliviensis boliviensis (Bolivian squirrel monkey). RNAcentral's name for it is "Metazoan signal recognition particle RNA (ENSSBOG00000009642.1)". It matches the Rfam family "Metazoan signal recognition particle RNA". From Rfam's summary of the family: The signal recognition particle (SRP) is a universally conserved ribonucleoprotein. It is involved in the co-translational targeting of proteins to membranes. Lineage: Eukaryota; Metazoa; Chordata; Mammalia; Primates; Cebidae. The record is from RNAcentral.
GCCGGGCACGGUGGCACGUGCCUGUAGUCCCAGCUACUCGGGAGGCUGAGGCAGGAGGAUCACCUGAGCCCAGGAGUUCUGGGCUGUAAUGCGCUAUGCCAAUCGGGUGUCCGCACUAAGUUUGGCAUCAAUAUGGUGACCUCCCAGGAGCAGGGCACCACCAGGUUGCCUAAGGAGGGGUGAACCUGCCCAGGUCAGAAACCGAGCAGGUCAAAAUUCCCGUGCUGAUCAGUAUUGGGAUCGCGCCUGUGAAUAGCCACUGCACUCCAGCCUGGGCAACAUACCGAGACCCUGUCUCU